GACGAACGCUGGCGGCGUGCCUAAUACAUGCAAGUUGAGCGCUGAAGGAUGGUACUUGUACCAACUGGAUGAGCAGCGAACGGGUGAGUAACGCGUGGGGAAGCUGCCUUUGAGCGGGGGACAACAUUUGGAAACGAAUGCUAAUACCGCAUAAAAACUUUAAACACAAGAUUUAAGUUUGAAAGAUGCAAUUGCCUCACUCAAAGAUGAUCCCGCGUUGUAUUAGCUUGGUGGUGAGGUAAAGGCUCAACAAGGCGAUGAUACAUAGCCGAGCUGAGAGGGAGAAUCGGCAACAUGGGACUGAGACAAGGCCCAAACUCCUACGGGAGGGAGCAGGAGGGGAUCAUCGGAAAUGGACGAAAGGCUGACCGAGCAACGCCGGGGGGGUGAAGGAGGGUCUCGGGUUGUAAAACUCGGUUGGUAGAGAAGGACGAUGGUGAGAGUAGAAAGCUGAUGAAGUGACGGUAACUACAGAGAAAGGGACGGCUAACUACGUG
RNAcentral lists this ribosomal RNA (497 nucleotides) under uncultured bacterium. RNAcentral describes it as "partial 16S ribosomal RNA". It matches the Rfam family "Bacterial small subunit ribosomal RNA", at positions 28 to 507 of the family's 1533-position model. The record is from RNAcentral.